Lolium perenne is the source of this 188-nucleotide non-coding RNA. Lineage: Eukaryota; Viridiplantae; Streptophyta; Magnoliopsida; Poales; Poaceae. The record is from RefSeq and is a predicted model, not a curated record.
CCUCCUCCCCCUGGAACGUCGUCCGUCGGUUUUGCCCAAUGGCUGGGGCAUUACGGGAUAAUCUUGGUGCUCUUUGAGACGCCAUCUCGAUUUGCACUCAUAAAUUAUGAUGGGGUCAAACUUUUUCGUCCAAAAGCCUUGGAGGAUAUCUGGUCAGAAUUCAUCAACAUGGAUACGGCACAAAACGU